UGGCCGCGGGAUUCUUGGUCAUUUAGAGGAAGUAAAAGUCGUAACAAGGGCUCCGUUGGUGAACCAGCGGAGGGAUCAUUACCGAGUUUACAACUCCCAAACCCCUGUGAACAUACCUUAAUGUUGCCUCGGCGGAUCAGCCCGCGCCCCGUAAAACGGGACGGCCCGCCAGAGGACCCAAACUCUAAUGUUUCUUAUUGUAACUUCUGAGUAAAACAAACAAAUAAAUCAAAACUUUCAACAACGGAUCUCUUGGUUCUGGCAUCGAUGAAGAACGCAGCGAAACGCGAUAUUUCUUGUGAAUUGCAGAAGUGAAUCAUCAGUUUUUGAACGCACAUUGCACUUUGGGGUAUCCCCCAAAGUAUACUUGUUUGAGCGUUGUUUCUCUCUUGGAAUUGCUUUGCUCUUCUAAAAUUUCGAAUCAAAUUCGUUUGAAAAACAACACUAUUCAACCUCAGAUCAAGUAGGAUUACCCGCUGAACUUAAGCAUAUCAAUAAGCGGAGGAAAAGAAACCAACAGGGAUUGCCCCAGUAACGGCG
This 540-nucleotide ribosomal RNA is filed under the name uncultured fungus. RNAcentral describes it as "eukaryotic LSU rRNA". The stretch from base 233 to 381 matches the Rfam family "5.8S ribosomal RNA". The record is from RNAcentral. Lineage: Eukaryota; Fungi.